GGUCUGUGGAGGUACUGCAGGGGUUCUCAAUCCGGGGUCUGUGGAGGUACUGCAGGGGUUCUCAAUCUGGGGUCUGUGGAGGUACUGCAGGGGUUCUCAAUCCGGGGUCUGUGGAGGUACUGCAGGGGUUCUCAAUCCGGGGUCUGUGGAGGUACUGCAGGGGUUCUCAAUCCGGGGUCUGUGGAGGUACUGCAGGGGUUCUCAAUCCGGGGUCUGUGGAGGUACUGCAGGGGUUCUCAAUCCGGGGUCUGUGGAGGUACUGCAGGGGUUCCACGGCACCCUGACUGUACUCGUUG
Long non-coding RNA from Oncorhynchus keta (chum salmon), 296 nucleotides. RefSeq lists it as uncharacterized. The transcript has 3 exons. The record is from RefSeq and is a predicted model, not a curated record. Lineage: Eukaryota; Metazoa; Chordata; Actinopteri; Salmoniformes; Salmonidae.